Molecule: long non-coding RNA, 1892 nt
Filed under: Mus pahari (shrew mouse)
Lineage: Eukaryota; Metazoa; Chordata; Mammalia; Rodentia; Muridae
Description: lncRNA (MGP_PahariEiJ_G0005066.1)
Source: RNAcentral
GUGAACUGAGUAGAAUGUUUUGGUCAAGGCUAACCUGGACUGGACUGCUGGGAUCUGGUCUGGUUUGAUAUAGCUUUAUCUGGUUUGGGCUGGUCUAAUUUGGUCUAGGUCUAGCCUUUAUUCAUUUAAACUGGCCUGGGCUUGUCUAUUCUGGUCUAACUUCUGGGCUGGUCUAAGUUUUACUGGGCUAGUCUACUCUGGUAUAGUCUGUUUUGGUCUAACCAGGCCCAGUUUGGUCUAUUCUUGUGUUAUCUAAGCUAGUCUAGUCUGGCCUACAGUAGUGUGAUCUACCCUGAUCUAAUCUAGUCUAAACUAUUCUGGUCUAGUUGGUUUUGGUCUGGAUUGGUUAAAUUAGUCUGGUCUGGCUUGUGCUGGUAUGUUCUAGUCUGGUAUAGAUUAGUCAAAUCUAACCUGUUCUGUUCUGUUCUGGUGUAUAGCAGUCUGUUUUGGGUUGGUUUAUUCUUCUUUGGUCUAGCUGGGUCUGGUCUGAUAUGAGCUGGUCUUGACUGGUUAAUUCUGGUGAGUUCUAGCCUUGUCUCCAUUGGUCUAAAUUGGUCUGGGCUGGUCUAAACUGGGCUUAUAUGCUCUUAUUCUGGUGUUUUUUGUCUGGUCUGAGCUGUUCUGUUCUGGUAUGAUCGAGUCUAGACUGGCACAAGCCAUUCAUUGUUCGCUAUUUGUUUUCUCUAAGAGCAGCUGCUGAGCAAGGCACUGGAUCUCAGAAGAACUAGAGAAUGGAACUUGUUCUACUAGCAAACAAGUUCCAUUCAACAGGACUGAAGAUGAGGUGCCAUGAAGACAUCAAAGACAAUGGAGAUACCAUUCCAGGAGAGGAGCGAGAACAGCCUGCAUGGGGACUGAAUUCUUUCUUUCUCUGCCCAGGACUCAUUUUCCUUCCUUUGUUGUCACAGCAGGUGAUUUUCUUACAGAGAAGCAUCUGCUCUCACCCUUGUGGCACAGGUGGCCUUCUCUUGCCACCAAGUCCAGAGGAAUGCGUGCUACCUGGACUUAGCAGAACUUCCUUGUCCCUUCUAUUCCUGUGGCAGUGGGCUCAGAGGACUCAGGCUGGGAAGUGAGAAACUCCCAGAGUGAAGGCUCCUCACAGGAGUUUCUGCUGUGAGUCACUGAGCCAUGGUAACUGGGUGUCCCACAUCUGCUCUGACAGUCCUCUCAGCCUCUGGGUCACGGAUGAGCUGAUUGAUCAUCAGCAACUCCAGAGCACAGGGAAUGCCACCCUUGCAAGAAAACUCCCAAUCCUGAGUUCAGUCCACAUGCUUCAUUCCUGACCAAGAGGAUGCUGGGUACUGAGCAGUGACAGGCGUCCAUCAAGAGGACCCUAGGUGCCUUCCUUAUUUUUUUUCCCCCUGGGUGCAUGCCUCUCUGGCUCAGGUGGGAGGAAAGAGGAGACAGACUUGAACCUGUCAGGAGACAACAAGGACGGACCAUGGUGGAUGUUUGCAGUUCCAGGUUGGCCUACCGAGAAUCAGGGGAGCCAGAUUCUACAGGGCUGAUCCAGCUGAAAAUGAGACUCACAAUUUGAUCACACAGGUGCACAGUGACAACGUCGAUUGAAUUUGCAGCUCUGACAGAUGUGUUUUAUAAAGGCCGGGGCACUGAUCAGAGAGGAGCAGGAUGCCAGGGCAUGUUAUUGAACUUGGAUGAGUCUGAAAAACAGCUGCUUCUUGCUGUCUGGAGUGAUGAGCCUCUCCUUUCCUGAGAAGCCCGUGAGGAGUUCACAGGAGCAACUUCCCCAGGAGAACAUCGAGUGUCGUCUGCCCGAGCUGCCAGCAGAAACCUCUUCCUGUGUCCCAGGAUACUUGUCUCAGAGGAGAUCAUUAUGGUACCAUGGGAAUUUUCUUAUGACCCAUUGAUAGAGCAAGAAAAGACACAACCCC